RNAcentral lists this ribosomal RNA (433 nucleotides) under uncultured bacterium. RNAcentral's name for it is "bacterial SSU rRNA". It matches the Rfam family "Bacterial small subunit ribosomal RNA", at positions 355 to 786 of the family's 1533-position model. The record is from RNAcentral.
UGAGGAAUAUUGGUCAAUGGGCAAAAGCCUGAACCAGCCAAGUCGCGUGAGGGAAGACGGUCCUAUGGAUUGUAAACCUCUUUUGUCGGGGAGCAACGGCGCCACGUGUGGCGGAAGGGAGAGUACCCGAAGAAAAAGCAUCGGCUAACUCCGUGCCAGCAGCCGCGGUAAUACGGAGGAUGCGAGCGUUAUCCGGAUUUAUUGGGUUUAAAGGGUGCGUAGGCGGAACGUUAAGUCAGCGGUAAAAUUGCGGGGCUCAACCCUGUACCGCCGUUGAAACUGGCGUUCUGGAGUGGGCGAGAAGUAUGCGGAAUGCGAGGUGUAGCGGUGAAAUGCAUAGAUAUCACGCAGAACUCCGAUUGCGAAGGCAGCAUACCGGCGCCCAACUGACGCUGAGGCACGAAAGCGUGGGGAUCGAACAGGAUUAGAUACC